This 74-nucleotide transfer RNA is filed under the name bacterium. RNAcentral's name for it is "tRNA-Ile". It matches the Rfam family "tRNA". Rfam says of the family: Transfer RNA (tRNA) molecules are approximately 80 nucleotides in length. The record is from RNAcentral.
GGGCAUAUAGCUCAGUUGGUUAGAGCACGACUCUUAUACAGUCGGGGUCGAUCGUACACAUCCAUCUAUGCCCA